UUUCCCAAUUUUCCAGUAGCCAGCAAGUGUCAGACACACGGUGUGCCAGGCAUGCUCUAAGUGAUUUCUAUAUAUAUCAAGUCAUUCACCCCAGUAACAACCCUAUAAGACGGGAAUUCCUGUCACCCUGACUUUAGAGAUGAGAACACUGAAGCCCAGCAAGAAGUCCCUCCAUAGAUGUCGAGUACAUGUUGGUUCCAUGGUCUUGGAUUUGUCAUCUCUAGAACUGCGAGCCAAGCGUGCAUUGCUCCACAAUCUGAUUCAAUUAAAAUCAGAGCAGAGCGUUGCCAGUCUCUGCAGCUUACAACAACCCCAUGAGGGUUCCUAGCGCUCUCUCCUUGGUUAUCUAUGUGAAUUUCCAGCGGGCCUCCUGCUGCACUGGGUACUGCAGGCAUCACGUGGCUCCUGGCCUCCUUUUCAUCACUCACCGUCAAGAUUGCCACGAUUUUUGACCAUGCCCUCAGUCAUGAACUUUCCCAAGC
Heterocephalus glaber (naked mole-rat) is the source of this 482-nucleotide long non-coding RNA. The record is from Ensembl. Lineage: Eukaryota; Metazoa; Chordata; Mammalia; Rodentia; Bathyergidae.